AAACCAUAUAAAUGACUCGUAUAACGCCGGGGAUAUGGCCCGGAAGUAUCUACCUGGAGACCGAAAAUUUCCGGACUACGAGGGUAUCUGUACU
Molecule: non-coding RNA, 94 nt
Filed under: uncultured Paenibacillus sp.
Lineage: Bacteria; Bacillati; Bacillota; Bacilli; Caryophanales; Paenibacillaceae
Description: Purine riboswitch
Rfam family: Purine riboswitch aptamer
About the family: Riboswitches are metabolite binding domains within certain messenger RNAs that serve as precision sensors for their corresponding targets.
Source: RNAcentral